Molecule: ribosomal RNA, 465 nt
Filed under: Vreelandella stevensii
Lineage: Bacteria; Pseudomonadati; Pseudomonadota; Gammaproteobacteria; Oceanospirillales; Halomonadaceae
Description: partial 16S ribosomal RNA
Rfam family: Bacterial small subunit ribosomal RNA
Source: RNAcentral
CCUACGGGUGGCAGCAGUGGGGAAUAUUGGACAAUGGGCGAAAGCCUGAUCCAGCCAUGCCGCGUGUGUGAAGAAGGCCUUCGGGUUGUAAAGCACUUUCAGUGGGGAAGAAAGCCUUGGGGCUAAUACCCUCGAGGAAGGACAUCACCCACAGAAGAAGCACCGGCUAACUCCGUGCCAGCAGCCGCGGUAAUACGGAGGGUGCGAGCGGUAAUCGGAAUUACUGGGCGUAAAGCGCGCGUAGGCGGUCUGAUAAGCCGGUUGUGAAAGCCCCGGGCUCAACCUGGGAACGGCAUCCGGAACUGGCAGGCGAGAGUGCAGGAGAGGAAGGUGGAAUUCCCGGGGUAGCGGUGAAAUGCGUAGAGAUCGGGAGGAAUACCAGUGGCGAAGGCGACCUUCUGGACUGACACUGACGCUGAGGUGCGAAAGCGUGGGUAGCAAACAGGAUUAGAUACCCUAGUAGUC